Rhopalosiphum maidis (corn leaf aphid) is the source of this 957-nucleotide long non-coding RNA. RefSeq lists it as uncharacterized. The transcript has 4 exons. Lineage: Eukaryota; Metazoa; Arthropoda; Insecta; Hemiptera; Aphididae. The record is from RefSeq and is a predicted model, not a curated record.
AACGCGCGUUGUUUAUAUUUAAUAUCAAUAUUUUUUUUCUGUCCGUACAAACUCGUUUUUCCGAAGUACGGCUGCCUAUACACAUCGACGCCACGCGAUCGUCGGCAAACCCAUAUUUAGGGGAUGCUGGGCGAGUGGCGAUCGGCUUGGAUGACACUUAUAUUAUGUAGGGGUGCAGGGCUGAUGACACUUUCUCGUGGAUUGUUUUUCUUAUAUUUAAUCACAAAAAUGUAACUUAUUAUGUAUACGCGAUCCACGGACAGCACGUAACAUAACUACUUUAUGGACUUCACCUGCAAUGUGUCCGGCUGCAUGCACAUGUUAUAUAAUAUGCUGGAAUGUCGGAUAAAUAAACUAGGUAUCUAUUCCAACUACAAACUAGCGCCGCAAUCACAAUGUUGAAGUCUCUAUGAAAAUAUUUUAGAAGACUUCGCACCGUAAGCGUACAUAGAGUGUGGCUCAACAACAAUCUAACUUGUUGAAAAUUAAACUCUCAAACCACUGUGUACCGAUGAGAUGUGGUAUGUGGACACGUGGGUUCUUGACGUUCCUGUACACAAGAAAUCGAUUUUGAACACAUCAUUGGAAAUAGGUACAAAGACAAAAUAAAUUUGUUACAACACGGUGCGAAAUACAGAAACCUGUAAACAUAUACGAAGCACGCGACAAGUUUUAAACAAAGUGUGGUGAUAGUGCGAUGGCAAGACAGGAGGAGCCGAAAUCGACUAGUUUUAAGACGCGGCCGCCCAAACGUCUGGACGGCUAUAUAAGAACGCAUCCGGCUCGAUGACCUACAUCCGGGAUCGCCGUCGGCUUGUACCAACACGCGCAUCUCUUACGAACAGCCCAAUAAAAUUCGACCAGUUGAAUUUGUCGUGGCCACUUUUCCCCCUCUCUUUUUCUCUCUCAUCCCCCCCUCUUUAUUAUUCUUUUUUUCUUUCUCUGUUCAUAUUUUUA